AAUCCUAGGACCCCUAUACUGUAAAUAUAGUUUAAGAAAAACAUUAGAUUGUGAAUCUAAUAAUACGAGCUCAAACCUCCUUAUUUACC
RNAcentral lists this transfer RNA (89 nucleotides) under Eumetopias jubatus (Steller sea lion). RNAcentral describes it as "tRNA-His". The stretch from base 21 to 89 matches the Rfam family "tRNA". From Rfam's summary of the family: Transfer RNA (tRNA) molecules are approximately 80 nucleotides in length. Their secondary structure includes four short double-helical elements and three loops (D, anti-codon, and T loops). The record is from RNAcentral. Lineage: Eukaryota; Metazoa; Chordata; Mammalia; Carnivora; Otariidae.